GAUGAAGAACGCAGCGAAAUGCGAUACGUGGUGUGAAUUGCAGAAUCCCGUGAACCAUCGAGUCUUUGAACGCAAGUUGCGCCCGAAGCCAUUAGGCCGAGGGCACGCCUGCCUGGGCGUCACACGUCGUUGCCCCCCCAUCUACUCCUUCGGGAUUGCGGGGGGCGGAUGAUGGCCUCCCGUGCGCCUUGUCGCGCGGUUGGCAUAAAUGCCAAGUCCUCGGCGACGCACGCCACGACAAUCGGUGGUUGCGAAACCUCGGUUGCCCGUCGUGUGCGGUCGUCGCGCAUCGAGGGCUCGAAAAAAUUGUCGGGCUCCGGCUCGGCUUUCAACGCGACCCCAGGUCAGGCGGGGUUACCCGCUGAAUUUAAGCAUAUCAAUAAGCGGAGGA
RNAcentral lists this unclassified non-coding RNA (391 nucleotides) under soil metagenome. RNAcentral's name for it is "partial contains 5.8S ribosomal RNA, internal transcribed spacer 2, and large subunit ribosomal RNA". The stretch from base 1 to 122 matches the Rfam family "5.8S ribosomal RNA", at positions 35 to 154 of the family's 154-position model. The record is from RNAcentral.